Molecule: ribosomal RNA, 345 nt
Filed under: uncultured bacterium
Lineage: Bacteria
Description: bacterial SSU rRNA
Rfam family: Bacterial small subunit ribosomal RNA
Source: RNAcentral
AGUGUAGAUUCAGAGUUUGAUCCUGGCUCAGGACGAACGCUGGCGGCGCGCCUAACACAUGCAAGUCGAGCGAGAACCAGGGCUUCGGCCCUGGGGACAGCGGCGAACGGGUGAGUAACACGUGGAUAACCUGCCCUUGGCACCGGAAUAGCCCGAGGAAACUCGGAUUAAUGCCGGAUAGCCCCACAUCCCUGCGGGGAACGUGGGAAAAGGUAGCUUCGGCCUCUGGCCGGGGAUGGGUCCGCGGUGGAUUAGCUUGUUGGCGGGGUAACGGCCCACCAAGGCGACGAUCCAUAGCUGGUCUGAGAGGAUGAUCAGCCACACUGGGACUGAGACACGGCCCAG